This 233-nucleotide unclassified non-coding RNA is filed under the name Hebeloma vinosophyllum. RNAcentral's name for it is "ITS1". Lineage: Eukaryota; Fungi; Basidiomycota; Agaricomycetes; Agaricales; Hymenogastraceae. The record is from RNAcentral.
UUGAAUGAACUUGGUGUGGUUGUCGCUGGCCCUCUCGGGGGCAUGUGCACACCCACCAUCCUCAUCUCUCCACCUGUGCACCUCAUGUAGACUUGGAUUGACUUUCCGAGGCAACUCGGUCGGGAGGACUGCUAGCAUGCUGGCUUUCCUUGCAUUUCCAGGUCUAUGUUUUUCAUAUACCCCAUUGUAUGUAACAGAAUGUAUCAUUGGGCACUUGUGCCUAUAAAACUUAU